UAUGGAAAAGCCGGUGCAAGCGAGGUAGGAGAUGAACAGGCAAAUCCGUUCAUCAAUCCGAAGACGUGAUGCGGACCGAAUUAAGAGUAGGGAAGUGUGUGAGCCAUGCGUCAAGAAAAGCCGCUAUUGUUUUACUUAAGCCCGUACCGCAAACCGACACAGGUGGAUGAGGAGAGAAUCCUAAGGCCGACGGGAGAAGCAUUGUUAAGGAACUCGGCAAAAUGACUCCGUAACUUCGGGAGAAGGAGUGCCAGCGAGAGCUGGCCGCAGAGAAUUGGCCCAAGCAACUGUUUAGCAAAAACACAGGUCUAUGCAAAACCGUAAGGUGAAGUAUAUGGGCUGACGCCUGCCCGGUGCUGGAAGGUUAAGAGGAGAGGUUAGCGGCAACGCGAAGCUUUGAAUUUAAGCCCCAGUAAACGGCGGCCGUAACAAUAACGGUCCUAAGGUAGCGAAAUUCCUUGUCGGGUAAGUUCCGACCCGCACGAAAGGCGUAAUGAUUUGGGCACUGUCUCAACAAUGCACCCGGUGAAAUUGAAAUACCAGUGAAGAUGCUGGUUACCUGCGCCAGGACGGAAAGACCCCAUGGAGCUUUACUCCAGCUUGAUACUGGGAUUCGGUAUUGCAUGUACAGGAUAGGUGGGAGGCUAGGAAGUGAUAACGCAGUUGUCACGGAGCCGCUGUUGGGAUACCACCCUUGCAGUAUUGGAUUUCUAACCAGCGACCAUGAACUGGUCGGGGGACAAUGUCAGGUGGGGAGUUUGACUGGGGCGGUCGCCUCCGAAAGGGUAUCGGAGGCGCUCAAAGGUUCCCUCAGAAUGGACGGAAACCAUUCGAAGAGUGCAAAGGCAGAAGGGAGCUUGACUGCGACACCGACGGGUGGAGCAGGUACGAAAGUAGGACUUAGUGAUCCGGUGGUAUAAAGUGGGAUUGCCAUCGCUCAACGGAUAAAAGCUACCCUGGGAUAACAGGCUUAUCACUCCCAAGAGUUCACAUCGACGGAGUGGUUUGGCACCUCGAUGUCGGCUCAUCGCAUCCUGGGGCUGAAGUAGGUCCCAAGGGUUGGGCUGUUCGCCCAUUAAAGCGGUACGCGAGCUGGGUUCAGAACGUCGUGAGACAGUUCGGUCCCUAUCCGGCGUGGGCGUAGGAUAUUUGAGAGGAGCUGUCCUUAGUACGAGAGGACCGGGAUGGACUGGCCGCUGGUGUAUCUGUUGCAUACCAAAUGCAUGGCAGAGUAGCCAAGCCGGGACGGGAUAAACGCUGAAGGCAUCUAAGCGUGAAGCCCCCCUCAAGAUGAGAUAUCCCUACGUAAGUAGUAAGACCCCUUGAAGACGACGAGGUAGAUAGGUCAGAGGUGGAAGUACAGUAAUGUAUGGAGCUGACUGAUACUAAUCGGUCGAGGGCAUGACC
This 1407-nucleotide ribosomal RNA is filed under the name metagenome. RNAcentral's name for it is "bacterial LSU rRNA". It matches the Rfam family "Bacterial large subunit ribosomal RNA", at positions 1497 to 2925 of the family's 2925-position model. The record is from RNAcentral.